RNAcentral lists this ribosomal RNA (570 nucleotides) under Triticum aestivum (bread wheat). RNAcentral's name for it is "partial small subunit ribosomal RNA". The record is from RNAcentral. Lineage: Eukaryota; Viridiplantae; Streptophyta; Magnoliopsida; Poales; Poaceae.
AUGCUCAUGUUGGAACAAACAGUGCUAGGCACUAAGGCAAACAAACUAAAGCAGCAGCGUACAGACUCAAGACAGACGACACAUGACAAACUACAAUCUUUGAAGCAUGACAGACCCCGGCCAACCAGCAAAACAGGGUACAGAGAAGCGACCGACACAGCUACGGGCAACCCUUCCCAGAGACUCAUAAGAAAGACGCCGGACCUAACCAUUGAAAGAGCUGAAGACACAUGCAGGGGAGCCAGGAGCAUCACCAGCGGAUGCAGAGGCGUCGCCCGACGAAACAGACACGACGUGAGAGGCGGCUUGAUCCAGGAUGGCACUGGCGUUGAGGUCGCAACACUGGGCAAUCUUCCUCAGCUUGCCCCUGGUCAGCGGCGAUGGGGUGCUCAGCAGUGGCAGCUCGAGAAGGCCGGCCACGGCCGCGGUCUUGGACUUCUUCUUGCGGCGGCGGGAGAGAGCAGCAGAACAGCGCGACGGCUCCAAACUAGUCAGAGCCAGCAGCAACCGCCUUCCGCUUGGCCGCCCGCUCGAUGGAACCCACGCGCAUACCAUCAUAGGUGCGGCUGA